CGGCAUGCCUAAGACAUGCAAGUCGAACGAAGCGGCCCACUGACUUAUAUUGAUACUUGAGAGCUUGCUCGAUGAGAGGAUUUAUAAUGACGUGGAUUUCCGCUUAGUGGCAAACGGGUGAGUAACACGUGGGUUACCUACCUCUAUGUUGGGGAUACCAAUUGGAAACGAUUGUUAAUACCGAAUAUGAUCUGAGGAUUAAAGAAGCCUUUAAAGCUUCGCGUAGAGAUGGGCCUGCGGCGUAUUAGCUUGUUGGUGGGGUAACGGCCUACCAAGGCAACGAUGCGUAGCCGAACUGAGAGGUUAAUCGGCCACACUGGGACUGAGACACGGCCCAGACUCCUACGGGAGACAGCAGUUAGGAAUAUUCGUCAAUGGGGGAAACCCUGAACGAGCAAUGCCGCGUGAGUUGAUGACGGCCCUAUGGGUUGUAAAACUCUGUUGUUUGGAAAGAAUUGUAAGAUUAGGAAAUGAGUCUUACUUGACGGUACCAUUCAAGAAAGCCACGGCUAACUACGUGCCAGCCGCCGC
RNAcentral lists this ribosomal RNA (531 nucleotides) under uncultured bacterium. RNAcentral describes it as "bacterial SSU rRNA". It matches the Rfam family "Bacterial small subunit ribosomal RNA", at positions 40 to 518 of the family's 1533-position model. The record is from RNAcentral.